This 235-nucleotide ribosomal RNA is filed under the name uncultured bacterium. RNAcentral's name for it is "partial 16S ribosomal RNA". It matches the Rfam family "Bacterial small subunit ribosomal RNA", at positions 15 to 239 of the family's 1533-position model. The record is from RNAcentral.
GAUCAUGGCUCAGGACGAACGCUGGCGGCGCGCCUAACACAUGCAAGUCGAACGAGAGAGAGGGAGCUUGCUUCCUCAAUCGAGUGGCGAACGGGUGAGUAACGCGUGAGGAACCUGCCUCAAAGGGGGGGANAGGGACAACAGUUGGAAACGACUGCUAAUACCGCAUAAGCCCACAGCUCGGCAUCGAGCAGAGGGAAAAGGAGCAAUCCGCUUUGAGAUGGCCUCGCGUCCG